CAAAAACAUGUCCUCUUGAUUAUAUUUUGAGGUCUGGCCUGCUCACUGAUAAAUUUAAAGAGCCGCGGUAUUUUGACCGUGCAAAGGUAGCAUAAUCAUUAGUCUUUUAAUUAAGGGCUGGAAUGAAUGGCUUGACGAGAAAUUAACUGUCUCUUAAUAAUUUAUAAAAUUUAACUUUUGAGUCAAAAGGCUUAAAUUUUUCUUUAGGACGAGAAGACCCUAUAGAGCUUAACAUAUAAUUUAUAUUUAUACAUUAGAUGAUUUUUAUAUAUUUAAUGAUAAUGUUUUGUUGGGGUGACAUGAAGAAUUAAUAAACUCUUCAUUAUAAAAUCGUUAAUUUAUGUUUAUUUUUGAUCCAUAAUUUAUGAUCAUAAGAUUAAGUUACCUUAGGGAUAACAGCGUAAUUGUUUUUGAGAGCUCAAAUCAACAAAGCAGAUUGCGACCUCGAUGUUGGAUUAAGAAAAAUUUUGGGUGC
Molecule: ribosomal RNA, 475 nt
Filed under: Ceracris kiangsu (yellow-spined bamboo locust)
Lineage: Eukaryota; Metazoa; Arthropoda; Insecta; Orthoptera; Acrididae
Description: partial 16S ribosomal RNA
Rfam family: Archaeal large subunit ribosomal RNA
Source: RNAcentral